Molecule: long non-coding RNA, 354 nt
Filed under: Zonotrichia albicollis (white-throated sparrow)
Lineage: Eukaryota; Metazoa; Chordata; Aves; Passeriformes; Passerellidae
Description: lncRNA (ENSZALG00000007353.1)
Source: RNAcentral
CACAUUGCAAUUCACCAUGAAAAUUCACCUAAGAGUUAUGUUGUCUUCAUAUGAAAUAGAAUUAAAGUGAAUGAAUGAAGACUACAGUACCCUGAACUGAGGUCCUGGGAUUAACUAAAGAACAAGAGCUUGUAAAGCCAACAGUUGAGGUUCUUCAGUGUAUAUUAUAUAUUGCUAUCUCAUCAGAUAAACUUAAAAGGAUCUCUGUCAUCUUCUCCUAGUGCUCCCUGGAGAAUAGAUGGUCAAAAAGUGAACUGUUUUUCUGGUAGCAUAUCACAUCCAAUUCUUGAGUCUGUGCACUGCCUACACAACCAUUGCUGUUGCUUCAAACAAGCAGUCCUAAAUUGUCGAUAA